GGGGCCGACCGGUUUUGACAGGAUGCGUGAUGGCGUACAUAAGCAUGCAGGCUCAUGGGAUGAGAGCCUCAAAAGAUAGUCCUAUAUAAUAACUGGCGAAUCUAACUACGCCAUGGCUGCCUAAUCUCAAAUAGUUUUGAGAUUCAGGGCUUGGUCCCGAUAAGAUCGGGACGGCCAUCGUCGCUCGGUACCUCACGUUCUGCGGGUAUCGAAAUCGCGACGUCGAUUGACAGAACUGGGCUGUAUGGAGUUGCAACAUGCCGUCGAGACAAAAGCAACUAAGGCAGUGUUUGGUGGCUGAUGACCUGGCAUUGCUCGAAAAUCAAUAUCAGCUAAGCAUGUAGAAAGUCCGUUGAUCAUCUUCUCUGGACCAGGGUUCGAAUCCCUGCGGCUCCACUA
Molecule: transfer-messenger RNA, 399 nt
Filed under: Cyclobacteriaceae
Lineage: Bacteria; Pseudomonadati; Bacteroidota; Cytophagia; Cytophagales
Also listed under: 1 other name
Description: ZC4RG29 sp012031955 Standard tmRNA
Rfam family: transfer-messenger RNA
About the family: Bacterial tmRNA, also known as 10Sa RNA or SsrA, is named for its dual tRNA and mRNA-like properties. Its role is to liberate the mRNA from a stalled ribosome.
Source: RNAcentral